UCUUCUCAGGGAGUUCCUGACAGCUAGAGACUAGGAGUAGAAUUAUGAGCUCACCUUUGGCCUCCCUUGGCAAGACCCGGCGAGUGCCUCUGCAUUCGGAGCCUGUGAAUCCGGGGAGGCGAGGGAUAAAAAUUUACGGAAAUGAAGAUGAGGUGGACGUGCUGAAUGACGCGCACGGCUCAGAAGAAAGGAUCUCUGUUCCUUCCUGCUAUGGUGGCAUAGGUGCCCCUGUGAGUAGGCAAGUCCCUGUGUACCACGACUCGGAGUUGAUGGCCGCCAUGGCGAGGAAAGUGCGGGAUCUGGAGCGGCAGGUGAAGGCCCAGGCGGAUGAGAUGCUUUCCAAGGAUCGGAAGAUACGGGCCUUGGAGGAGCUGAUGGAGACCCUCCAAGAGCACCAGGGCACGGUGACCCUGCAGCGGCAGGAGGAGCUGGAGACCAUGUGCGCGCAACUGCAGCGGCAGGUCGGGGAGAUGGAGCGGUUCCUCGGUGACUACGGCCUGCAGUGGGUGGGCGAGCCCAUGGAUGAGGAGGACUCGGAGGAUGGCGAGAGGGACUGGAUGACAGCCAAGAAGUUCUGGAAGCCAGGGGACUCACUGGUACCCCCCCAGGUGGACUUUGACAGGCUGCUGGCUAGCCUGAAGGAUCUCAGUGAGCUGGCGGUAGACAGUGACACCCAGCUGACACCAGUGCCCAGCAGAGUGCCACACUGUGUCCUUGAGCCCAUCCCACUGAAGCUCUACCGGAAUGGCAUCGUGAUGUUCGAUGGGCCCUUCCGGCCCUUCCAUGAUCCCUCCACACAGCGCUGCCUCCGAGACGUACUGGAUGGCUUCUUCCCAUCAGAGCUCCAGCGGCUGUACCCUGACGGGGUCCCCUUUAAGGUGAGUGACCUGCGCAAUCAAGUCUACCCAGAGAAUGGGCUGGACGCGUUCCCAGGCGAGGGCCGAGUGGUAGGCUGGCAGAGGAUUCGAAAGCCCUUGGACAGGAUGGAGCACCCAGGCUCCACGAUGACCGCCGAGAAGUUUCUGAACAGGCUGCCCAAAUUUGUGAUCCGACAAGGCGAGGUGAUUGACAUUCGGGGUCCCAUCCGGGACACCCUGAAGGUGAGGCCAGCCCUGGCUCCCCCAGCCUUAUUGGCGGGCUUUACCAUCAACCCUGGCCCAGCCUACCAGAGCAGCGGCUUAUCUGGAGGCUCAGGCUUGAGGGCCCCUGAGGAUGGCCUGGAUGGAGAGAUGAGUUCCUCAGAGCUGUUCCCCUGUCUCCUGGAAACGAUGGAGCUGGUGAGCUCUCAGGACUGUCUCCUGGUCUCUCUGAGCUGGGACCAGAGAGCAGCUGGCCAACGCAGGAGUGUGGCUGUAAGAGUGAGAAAGUCAGGGGAGUCUAGGUUGGGGGUGAGCCCAAGUUCAGGCCACCCUCUACCGAAAUACACCUUCCUGGCCUUCACAGGACUCAUCCUCCUCUCUCCUCACUCACUAUCCUGCUACUCCUCUCUCAUCUCCACCUGUGAAAGAUACCCAACCCGUUUCCCAGAACUCUGCCUUCACCACACAUGGCCAAGUCCUGUCAGAUCUGUCUGUCCCCAGAACUGCUCCCGAAUCCAUCUCUUCUCUCCAUUCCCGCUGCCCACCAUCCUAGCCUAGGCUCCAGAGUGUCUUCCAGACAACUGCAGUGGCCCCUCACUGGCCUCCCACCUCCACUCCCGCCCUGCCAGCCAUCCUCCCCCAGCAGCCUCUGUGCUUUUUUAAAAAUGCAAAUUGGAUCUUGGCUCUUCCCUGUUGAAACCCUCCAGUGGUUCUUAGGUAAGGCCUGUCAUUCCUUUCUGGUCCUCUUCCCACCUCUAACCUUUUCUUUCUUCCAGUCCAACCUGAUUCCCAGCUUCAGCCACAUGAAUGCUGAUACUUUCUCAAAUAUAUCACCUCUUCUCAGAAGUCUUCCCUGACCUAUGCUGUCUGGAAUAUCCUUGCCCCCCCAUUCCAUUUCUAAGGACUCCUCUUCAUCCUUCAGUCACAGCUCAGGUGUCAUUUCCCCAGGGAAGCCUUCCCUGACCCAUGCUAGGUUAGGCACCCAGCCUGGUCACUGUGUGGGGUUCUGUCUCCCCAACUAGAAUGAGGAAAGGGAAUGAUGGGGCCACCUCCCAAAGCUUCCGUUCUGUUUCCUCUCCUUGGGCCCCCGUUUACACAGAAUACCCCCUCCCCCUUUGGCUCACUGGUCUCAUCCAUCCCUGGUCAGGAGAAGUCCCCUGUAGGGGUUGGGGGGAGGGUGUGACUGGCAGGGCCCAGGGCUCUGUCCACUCCAUCGAUGCCUUCCAGAACUGCUGCCCAUUGCGUGUCCGGAUCCAGGAGAUCGUGGUGGAGACGCCUGCCUUGACUGCUGAGCGUGAGAGGAGCCAGGAGUCUCCGGAGUUGC
Balaenoptera musculus (blue whale) is the source of this 2403-nucleotide RNA transcript. It is a transcript of the gene named UBX domain protein 11, with no coding region annotated. The record is from RefSeq and is a predicted model, not a curated record. The transcript has 12 exons. NCBI's taxonomy places the organism in Eukaryota, Metazoa, Chordata, Mammalia, Artiodactyla, Balaenopteridae.